CUACGGGGCGCAGCAGUGGGGAAUAUUGGACAAUGGGGGAAACCCUGAUCCAGCAAUGCCGCGUGUGUGAAGAAGGCCUGCGGGUUGUAAAGCACUUUCGGUUGGGAGGACUGCUUCUAGAACUAAUCUUGUUGGAAGUUGACGUUACCUUCAGAAGAAGCACCGGCUAACUCCGUGCCAGCAGCCGCGGUAAUACGGAGGGGGCAAGCGUGUAAUCGGAAUUACUGGGCGUAAAGCGCGCGUAGGCGGCUAGAUCAGUCGGGUGUGAAAGCCCCGGGCUUAACCUGGGAACUGCAUCCGAUACUGUCUAGCUUGAGUACAGGAGCGGAGAGUGGAAUUCCACAUGUAGCGGUGAAAUGCGUAGAUAUGUGGAGGAACACCAAUGGCGAAGGCAGCUCUCUGGCCUGAUACUGACGCUGAGGUGCGAAAGCGUGGGGAGCAAACAGGAUUAGAUACCCCGGUAGUC
Molecule: ribosomal RNA, 466 nt
Filed under: uncultured bacterium
Lineage: Bacteria
Description: partial 16S ribosomal RNA
Rfam family: Bacterial small subunit ribosomal RNA
Source: RNAcentral